GAUGAACGCUGGCGGCGUGCCUAACACAUGCAAGUCGAACGGAGCUGCUUUGAUGAAGUUUUCGGAUAGAUUUAAAACAGCUUAGUGGCGGACGGGUGAGUAACGCGUGGGUAACCUGCCUCACACUGGGGGAUAACAGUUAGAAAUAGCUGCUAAUACCGCGUAAGCGCACAGUUCCGCAUGGAACAGUGUGAAAAACUCCGGUGGUGUGAGAUGGACCCGCGUCUGAUUAGCCAGUUGGCGGGGUAACGGCCCACCAAAGCGACGAUCAGUAUCCGGCCUGAGAGGGUGAACGGCCACAUUGGGACUGAGACACGGCCCAAGCUCCUACGGGGGGCAGCAGUGGGGAAUAUUGCACAAUGGGGGAAACCCUGAUGCAGCGACGCCGCGUGAGUGAAGAAGUAUUUCGGUAUGUAAAGCUCUAUCAGCAGGGAAGAAAGUGACGGUACCUGAAUAAGAAGCCCCGGCUAACUACGUGCCAGCAGCCGCGGUAA
This 494-nucleotide ribosomal RNA is filed under the name uncultured bacterium. Its description in RNAcentral is "partial 16S ribosomal RNA". It matches the Rfam family "Bacterial small subunit ribosomal RNA", at positions 28 to 523 of the family's 1533-position model. The record is from RNAcentral.